Long non-coding RNA from Drosophila willistoni, 533 nucleotides. RefSeq lists it as uncharacterized. The record is from RefSeq and is a predicted model, not a curated record. NCBI's taxonomy places the organism in Eukaryota, Metazoa, Arthropoda, Insecta, Diptera, Drosophilidae. The transcript has 3 exons.
AUCGAUGGUAUUUGCAUUGAUGGGUCAAAUAAAUGGGAAUUGGUCACCUUUGAAGAUAGAAAGAUACCUGAUCCUGGUCAUGCAUUGGCUAAGGUUAUGCUCUUCGAUUGCUUCUUCGUUAGAGUGAAUAAUUCCCUCUGUGAAUUCUACACUUGCUACUAAAGCUUGAAAACGGCGAGCAUAGUUUUAUAGUGCGAAAUUUAUAUAAUCAGAUCUUUCACUUGGUGCAGGUAUGCAAUUUGGAAUUGAAGAUACCCCAGCUGGUGACUGGGCAGGACCUUAACCUAUUAUUUAAGAAUGAAUGAACGAGUCAUGUGGACCCUCACACACAUUGGGAAAUGCUUGGAUGCAUGCUUCAAUGUACAGGAUGUGCAGACCACAAACCACUCCUGGAUUGAAGAAUGUUGUGGUCAAUGUUUGAGAUCGGCCAGAAGCAAGAAUUUAUACUGCAAGAAAUAAUUUAUCUAUCGGCUCUGUGAUUACUUUAUUUUGCCAAUUAUUCCUAAUGUUCCUACAUUUUUUUUUACAUUUGC